RNAcentral lists this unclassified non-coding RNA (283 nucleotides) under uncultured fungus. Its description in RNAcentral is "partial contains small subunit ribosomal RNA, internal transcribed spacer 1, and 5.8S ribosomal RNA". The stretch from base 1 to 73 matches the Rfam family "Eukaryotic small subunit ribosomal RNA", at positions 1759 to 1831 of the family's 1831-position model. Lineage: Eukaryota; Fungi. The record is from RNAcentral.
UCAAACUUGGUCAUUUAGAGGAAGUAAAAGUCGUAACAAGGUUUCCGUAGGUGAACCUGCGGAAGGAUCAUUAUCGAAUUUGAAGGUCGGUCUUGGGUUGAGCUGGCUUUGCAGGUGCUCGCCCUCGUCGGUCUAAUCCCACACACACCUGUGCACCUUGAGGAAGCGGGGGGAAACCCUCGCGACCUCUUUUAAUAACGAAUGUCUACGCAUGUCAUUUUAAAAUAAAGUAACAACUUUCAACAACGGAUCUCUUGGCUCUCGCAUCGAUGAAGAACGCAGC